This 574-nucleotide ribosomal RNA is filed under the name Aureobasidium pullulans. RNAcentral's name for it is "LSU rRNA". It matches the Rfam family "Eukaryotic large subunit ribosomal RNA", at positions 56 to 653 of the family's 3401-position model. The record is from RNAcentral. Lineage: Eukaryota; Fungi; Ascomycota; Dothideomycetes; Dothideales; Saccotheciaceae.
GACAACAGGGAUUGCCCUAGUAACGGCGAGUGAAGCGGCAACAGCUCAAAUUUGAAAGCUAGCCUUCGGGUUCGCAUUGUAAUUUGUAGAGGAUGAUUUGGGGAAGCCGCCUGUCUAAGUUCCUUGGAACAGGACGUCAUAGAGGGUGAGAAUCCCGUAUGUGACAGGAAAUGGCACCCUAUGUAAAUCUCCUUCGACGAGUCGAGUUGUUUGGGAAUGCAGCUCUAAAUGGGAGGUAAAUUUCUUCUAAAGCUAAAUAUUGGCGAGAGACCGAUAGCGCACAAGUAGAGUGAUCGAAAGAUGAAAAGCACUUUGGAAAGAGAGUUAAAAAGCACGUGAAAUUGUUGAAAGGGAAGCGCUUGCAAUCAGACUUGUUUAAACUGUUCGGCCGGUCUUCUGACCGGUUUACUCAGUUUGGACAGGCCAGCAUCAGUUUCGGCGGCCGGAUAAAGGCUCUGGGAAUGUGGCCUCCACUUCGGUGGAGGUGUUAUAGCCCAGGGUGUAAUACGGCCAGCCGGGACUGAGGUCCGCGCUUCGGCUAGGAUGCUGGCGUAAUGGUUGUAAGCGACCCGUC